This 253-nucleotide ribosomal RNA is filed under the name uncultured bacterium. RNAcentral describes it as "partial 16S ribosomal RNA". It matches the Rfam family "Bacterial small subunit ribosomal RNA", at positions 524 to 776 of the family's 1533-position model. The record is from RNAcentral.
UACGUAGGGUGCGAGCGUUGUCCGGAACUACUGGGCGUAAAGAGCUCGUAGGUGGUUUGUCGCGUUGUUCGUGAAAACUCACAGCUUAACUGUGGGCGUGCGGGCGAUACGGGCAGACUGGAGUACUGCAGGGGAGACUGGAAUUCCUGGUGUAGCGGUGGAAUGCGCAGAUAUCAGGAGGAACACCGGUGGCGAAGGCGGGUCUCUGGGCAGUAACUGACGCUGAGGAGCGAAAGCGUGGGGAGCAAACAGG